UACGUAGGGUGCAAGCGUUAAUCGGAAUUACUGGGCGUAAAGCGCACGUAGGCGGCUUUGCAAGUUAGAGGUGAAAGCCCGGGGCUCAACUCCGGAAUUGCCUUUAAAAACUGCAUCGCUAGAAUUGUGGAGAGGUAAGUGGAAUUCCGAGUGUAGAGGUGAAAUUCGUAGAUAUUCGGAAGAACACCAGUGGCGAAGGCGACUUACUGGACACAUAUUGACGCUGAGGUGCGAAAGCGUGGGGAGCAAACAGG
This 254-nucleotide ribosomal RNA is filed under the name uncultured bacterium. RNAcentral's name for it is "partial 16S ribosomal RNA". It matches the Rfam family "Bacterial small subunit ribosomal RNA", at positions 524 to 776 of the family's 1533-position model. The record is from RNAcentral.